This 107-nucleotide small nucleolar RNA is filed under the name Meriones unguiculatus (Mongolian gerbil). Its description in RNAcentral is "Small nucleolar RNA SNORA17 (ENSMUGG00000021458.1)". The stretch from base 1 to 78 matches the Rfam family "Small nucleolar RNA SNORA17". From Rfam's summary of the family: snoRNA ACA 17 belongs to the H/ACA family of snoRNAs and is predicted to guide pseudouridylation of the 28S rRNA at positions U4659 and U4598. It shares the same host gene together with ACA43. The record is from RNAcentral. Lineage: Eukaryota; Metazoa; Chordata; Mammalia; Rodentia; Muridae.
CCUGCCCCUAGAGGCAUUGCAGAUGUGGCUGCUGUGUUAAAAGUGCGUCAGUAGGUGGUGGUGUUCCGACUUAACAUCUGAAUGUUUAGUAGCAAGCCUGAGACAAA